UACGUAGGUGGCAAGCGUUGUCCGGAUUUACUGGGCGUAAAGAGCGCGCAGGCGGUCGGAUCAGUCGAAUGUGAAAGCCCCCGGCUCAACUGGGGAGGGUCAUUCGAUACUGUCCGACUCGAAGGCAGGAGAGGGAAGCGGAAUUCCCGGUGUAGUGGUGAAAUGCGUAGAUAUCGGGAGGAACACCAGUGGCGCAGGCGGCUUUCUGGCCUGUUCUUGACGCUGAGGCGCGAAAGCUAGGGGAGCGAACGGG
This 253-nucleotide ribosomal RNA is filed under the name uncultured bacterium. RNAcentral's name for it is "partial 16S ribosomal RNA". It matches the Rfam family "Bacterial small subunit ribosomal RNA", at positions 524 to 776 of the family's 1533-position model. The record is from RNAcentral.